This is a long non-coding RNA of Cannabis sativa, 423 nucleotides long. RefSeq lists it as uncharacterized. Lineage: Eukaryota; Viridiplantae; Streptophyta; Magnoliopsida; Rosales; Cannabaceae. The transcript is spliced from 2 exons. The record is from RefSeq and is a predicted model, not a curated record.
UCACAAAGAGUGUUGAAUUCAUGCCAUUUUAUCUCUCUUUAUCAACUUUCUUGAUGAGUCUCUCUUUCUCAGCUUAUGGAUUUUCCAAUUAUGAUCCUUUCAUAUAUGUUCCAAAUGUGAUUGGGACAAUCUUGGGAGUUGUUCAAUUGGCCUUAUACUACUACAUUAGUAGAACAUCAAGAGAAGACUCAAGACUACCCUUGAUCAACACAUAUGUAGUUUGACUAAUUUUUGUCAAAUAAUAAAUGUAAUUUUUUUCUUUCUUUUUUGCAUAUAAAAGAGAAAUUAGGAAAAAUCAUUGUUUAUACAAAAUAGAAAUUAGGCAUUGUUUUUCUUUCUCUCUUUUCUUUUUUUAGUCUAAAUUCCAUCUUAUUAAUUUUUAAAAAUUCCCCUAUAUUCAAUAAGAAAUUUUUAUUUAUUUUA